AAAGCGAGUCUGAAUAGGGCGUUUAGUAUUUGGUCGUAGACCCGAAACCAGGUGAUCUACCCUUGGUCAGGUUGAAGUUCAGGUAACACUGAAUGGAGGACCGAACCGACUUACGUUGAAAAGUGAGCGGAUGAACUGAGGGUAGCGGAGAAAUUCCAAUCGAACCUGGAGAUAGCUGGUUCUCUCCGAAAUAGCUUUAGGGCUAGCCUCAAGUGAUGAUUAUUGGAGGUAGAGCACUGUUUGGACGAGGGGCCCCUCUCGGGUUACCGAAUUCAGACAAACUCCGAAUGCCAAUUAAUUUAACUUGGGAGUCAGAACAUGGGUGAUAAGGUCCGUGUUCGAAAGGGAAACAGCCCAGACCACCAGCUAAGGUCCCAAAAUAUAUGUUAAGU
This 392-nucleotide ribosomal RNA is filed under the name Staphylococcus aureus. RNAcentral describes it as "partial 23S ribosomal RNA". It matches the Rfam family "Bacterial large subunit ribosomal RNA", at positions 674 to 1064 of the family's 2925-position model. The record is from RNAcentral. Lineage: Bacteria; Bacillati; Bacillota; Bacilli; Caryophanales; Staphylococcaceae.